GGCGUUUUGCGGGGCAUGCUGGCGGGAGGUGCCACGGUACUCCGUAGGAUGGGGUAAAAUCUUUUGAUCUAUGGAUGACCACCUGUGGCGAAGGCGGUCUACCAGAACACGUUCGACGGUGAGGGAUGAAAGCUGGGGGAGCAAACCGGAUUAGAUACCCGGGUAGUCCCAGCUGUAAACUAUGCAAACUCAGUGAUGCAUUGGCUUGUGGCCAGUGCAGUGCCGCAGAGAAGUCGUUAAGUUUGCCGCCUGGGAAGUACGUACGCAAGUAUGAAACUUAAAGGAAUUGGCGGGGGAGCACCACAAGGGGUGAAGCCUGCGGUUCAAUUGGAGUCAACGCCAGAAAUCUUACCCGGAGAGACAGCAGGAUGAAGGUCAAGCUGAAGACUUUACCAGACAAGCUGAGAAGUGGUGCAUGGCCGUCGCCAGCUCGUGCCGUGA
Molecule: ribosomal RNA, 441 nt
Filed under: uncultured archaeon
Lineage: Archaea
Description: bacterial SSU rRNA
Rfam family: Archaeal small subunit ribosomal RNA
Source: RNAcentral